CUGCGAGAAGUGGCUGGAAGUUGGCAGCAUGUGAUCCAAAGGAGAGGUCUUGUCACAGCACUCGUCUAUGUCAAAGAACGAGGAGCCCGGUAUGUGCUUCUGCGCAAACUCCGCUCUCGGGUCCCGUUUCGUUUUGGAGCUUGCUUUCGACCUCGGAGACGACGUGCUCUGGCGGGGCCUUGGUGAACCACUCAUACCAGGAUCCGUCGUACACAGACGCAUCGGGGGCGCCGCACAGAUGGGCAGCCAGCACCAGAUGACAGGCAGUCACACCGGAGCCACAGGAUCCACAGAUUGGCUUAUUCAGGUCCACUUGUGACUUCUGAAAGAACUUCUUCAGCUGCUCAGGAGAGAGCAUCAUGCCAUCUUCAUCGACAAACCCGAAGAAAGGCAUGCAUUUGGAGCCAGGGAUGUGACCCGGUUUGACACCUGUGGGACGAUGACACAGUGGUUUACCUUUUUGCACACACCUGUAGCACAACAACCACAAUAUCCCUGGCCAGCAGAAACCCCAGGCAGCAUUGCCUAGGUCAGGCCUUACACUGUAUGGGCGCAGCUUUUGAUCCAUGCAGAAGGAGAGGCAACACCCAGCACCCAAGAAGGAAACAGAGGGAGACUGAACCUGGAUGCAGUAAGGACAAGCGCAUCUCUCCUACUGCAGCACAUGCAGACGAACAGUUUUUAAAAUGUCACCAGGCAAUGUAUUUGAGUGCAAAGAAACAUGGUCUAAUAGGCCUUUUUGAUGGAAAACAUUUUGACACGUCACAGUAGGAAAAACUUGUAUAAAUAAUAAAAUGAAUGAUGACUGAAUUCCAUUUAGCUGCUUCAGUUUGGGGGUCCUGGCAUUGUGCAUGCUGGCUCACUGUCACACUGUCAUCACUUACUGGGACACUUGAACAGAACAGAUUCAUUGUUAAUGUACUAGUAGUAUUUUGUAUAUUGAGAUAUUUAAUAUGUUUUAGGGGGAGUGCUAUCCAAAAUCGUGAUGGUGAAAAAAUACCUUCAGUUGGGAGAGAUUUGUUUAGUGAACAUUAAACUUUAAUUUCCUGAUAAAUGUAGGGGAAAGGUGUCUAAUAGGACAUAUUUAUUGGUUUUAGAAAGUGGGAAACCUACACGUUUUAAG
Morone saxatilis (striped sea-bass) is the source of this 1123-nucleotide long non-coding RNA. RefSeq lists it as uncharacterized. The transcript is spliced from 3 exons. The record is from RefSeq and is a predicted model, not a curated record. Lineage: Eukaryota; Metazoa; Chordata; Actinopteri; Moronidae.